UAUUCCGCGUGUGCGGCCCUAAAAAGAAAAAAAAAAAGAUACACUCUUAUUUCUAAAGAAAUUAAAAACAAAUUAAAAUAUUAACUUGAAAGGUACUUAGAAGAGUAAGGUUUACAGAGAAAAUUGUUUAGCAAAUUGGAGUGAGAGUAAUCUUGGAGAAAGAAGUGUUCUUCUUUCAUGCAGCUCUGUAAAAACAGGAAAAAUGGUGGAUCUUUUAGAACUGAGCCCAAAUAGGAUUUUUACUGAAUCAUUUAUUUUAAUAGGUGUUUAGCAAGGGGGAAUAUAGAUUUAUCAUUGUUAUCAUUGCUUUUGCCACUGGCAACAGGAUCAUCAUAUUGAAAGUUAAUUUGGGACCUUGGCCCUAUUAUUUGGCCCUCUAAUUACUUGGCUUCAUGCAUAAUGUAGACUCUAAGGACAAUAAAACUAGGAGUGACAGCAGGUCAGAAAAUUGGAAUGAUUGAAGCUCUAGGCAAAAUGAUCAGUUUGCAGAAAGAAAGUGGAAAUAUUGGGUAUCUUGUUUGAAGGGGUUUCCCUUCCUAUUUUUGAAGAUAAACCGCUGAUUGACUUUAUGUUGUGAUAAUUUUUAGCAAUUUAGAUGGAACUUUGCUAUUUUACUCCACUCCCACCCCAAUCAUAUUUGAAAUCAAAUAUUUAUAUCUUGCAAAAUGACUCAUCUGUUAGUAGGACACUGGUACAUUCUGCUUUUUCCUUCCAUAAUAUUCUUUGCUACCUUAUUGAAUAACGUAAGCUGUAAAAUAAUAAUAAAAUCUCAUUUGUUUGGUAAGUAGCUAUUGAGUGCCUACAUAUACUAAGCUCUUCGUUUGGCAUUAGUGAUAUAAAGAUGAAUACAAGGCUACCGUUGAAUAUGUACAUUACUUAAUUUGAAUUUCAGUGACGGAAAUGAAUGAAUAGAUAUGACAGUAUGACAUAAUAUAUUCAUGAUAUGAACAUGCAAUACAGAAGGAGAACAGGGAGUUAGUGACCAACUUUGGACAUAGGAAACUGGAAAUGCCGGAAGGAUGGAAGUAAAUUGAGAAAAGAGAUGGCGUUUGAGCUGUUUCUUGAUAAAUGAGUAAUAUUCUUCCAGACAGCUGUGAUGGAAGUAACCAUUUCAGCAGACAGACAGAGGAAUGUAAAUAACAAUGAAAACAAAAGCCACACAGUAUUAUUAUAGAACCGAAGUUAGUUCAAUGUGGAACAUCUAGGACAAGGGGCACAAGGCAGAUUUUAAGGGAUCUUUUACUUAAUACUAGGGAAAAACUGAGCUGUCAUAUGUAAGUAGUGGAGAAUGAUAGAAGGCUUUAAAAGGGGGUGGGGAGUAAUGGAUAAGAUUUGAUUCCUAGGACUUCUCAUUUGGUAUAAUUACAGAGAGGAAUGAAGAGAAUUUGACACUGAUAACAAGUCAACUAGCAAGCAGUGAAAUAGUCUGUAGGACAAUACAUACCUGAAGUAAGGCAUUAGCUAUUGACAGUAGUAUUUCCAUUGAUAAAGUUAUUCAUAGGUAAGCCAAAUUUCCAACUAAUUCUAACAUGAAUCAAUAAUCACUUGAAUUUAUGCAUUGUUUUUAAGAUGAGGCAGAAGUAAAUAAUGGAACUAUCUUUAGAAAUAUGUAGAAUAGGAAAUAGAAAAUAAAUCCUCUUUUUUAAAAAAUUGUCCUUCUAAAUGUAAAACUCAGUUUUUCUAAAGACGUAGUCUUUCUCAAGACAUACUCUUGGUUUCCAUGUGCCCUUCAAUAAUAUAACAAACACUGAUCCUUUUCCCUCAUUAUGAAGGGUAGAGAAUGAAAUUUAAUUAAACCCCUUUGUCAUUCAGUCAUAGAAGUUUUGUCAGUUUAAUUGAUACUUGGUCAAAGCAAUAUUGACCUGAUAAAAGCAAAUCUAUUUCUAACCCUAACAAUUAAAACAUUUAAAUAGCCUCCAUCUUCUUUUAACGAAAGGACAUAAAACCACUAUCAGGUGCUCAUAAAAAUCAAUGAAAACAUUAAUAAAUGAAUUAGCAUCCAUUUCGUUGUAUCCCAUUUGUUUAACAGUCUAAUGUACUAAUACAUAAAAGUGUAUGAACUCCACUGUGAGAUCCAGAUAGUCAUUUAUUCUCUUUCCCUUUCUCUCUGGCUCUGACACUCUCUUUCACACACACACACACACACACACACACACACACACACACACACACACACACCCCUCUACCCCAGUGCUAUAAUAUUUCAUAGAAAUCACAAGUCUCAUAUUCUAAAAUUUAUAUGUGGAACUUAUUUUCUGCAGAAAUUCCUCCAGAAGUAUAUUUCUGUAUAAUGAAAGGCAGUCUCCUCUUGUCAGAGCAAAGAUUCAUAUGUAGUUGUUUUUAUUCUAAAGUCUAACAUUUUUUAAUAUCUAAGCAUGGGCUCAGUCCUGUAUGGGUGCAAAUUGAACUAAGAGCAUGGGUGCAGUCACGGGGAAUCAUUACUUAUUUAGAUAAAGUGUCUGGCAAUCCCAAAUUUAAAUCUUCACUCUGCUGUUUUCUGUUUGGCCUCAGGCAAUUUCUUUAAUCUCUCUGACCUUCAAUUCCCUCAACUAUUAUGGGAUUAAAAGCGUUAUUAUGAGAUUAAAAGACAUAAUGCAUAUAAUAUAUUUAGGACAGUACAUUAAACCUAGAAUAGAAAGCUAUUUCAGGAGUUCUCUUGUGGCACAAUAGGUUAAAGAUCUGGUGUUGUUGCUGCAGUGGCUUGGGUCUCUGCUAUGACGCAGGUUUGAGCCCUGGCCAAGAACUUCCACAAACUGUGGGCAUGGCCAAAAAAAAAAAACACUAUUUCAGUUAAAUAAAGGGUCAUGGAAGCCAAUAACUAAGUAUAAUUAAGGAGUUGGAGAAUCAAGAAAAACAAAGCUGGGAAUAAGCAAAUCAAAAGUUGCCAAAAUAUUUUGACCAUUUUCAAGGAUCUCAGUCACUUUAAUGAGACUAUUUUCAAGACGAUUGAAAAUUAUUAAAGUAGGCCAUUGAAAAGAUACUGAAAGAAUACCAUCAUUAUUCCCUUCAUUGUUUGCCUGAAAACAAAUCCUCUUGCAAUGAGUUUAUUUCUUGCAUUUUAACUAUGAAAAAGAGAGGAGUGAUAAUAUCUUAAAUGUGAAAACCAAAAUAUUUUGUCUUGUAGUAUGCAAAAUCAGUGAGGAAUGAUUCUUUCAACACACAUCAACUACAUUUUCAUGGAAAUAUAUGGUUAGACCUAUUCAUUUGUCCUUAUGGGAAAAAGGGUAUGGAAAAAGUAUAAGGUUGUUAGUGUAGUUGGCUAAUUUCUUUCACAGCAUUGGUUUCAUUCUUACCUGAUUGCUUUUAAAGCAUGUACUUAGAUGGGCCAUGGCAUUUCUUUGUACCUACGCUUAACCUGGAUAGAAUUUAAGGGAAAAUUCUGUUGUGAAAAGGAUGCUAAUCUUCAAUGACCCUAAAAUCAGAGUAGAGUCUUGCUCUGCAAAAUCAAUCUCUUAAUGUAAGCAUUUGGCCGGUUUUAUGCUGAAGAGUGGGAUCACAGCAAUUACGGGCUUGUAUUUCCUGGCAGGGAGACAAGCAAGGAUAGAUUUCCUCUGUUUUAUGUUUGUGUUAAUUUAACCUGUCAAAGUUAAUCAUCCUGUCGAAGUGCCAAAGCAGUGCAAUGUUGAGCACCAGUGAGCUGUCUGGUGCUGCCUCCUGUUUACAUCUCUGCUAGAGACUUACUGCGUGUCCUCUGUUAGACCCAUUUGUCUCUCUUAUUUUCCUUGUUUUUAAAACAGAAUAAUUAAUAAUCAUCUCCUAUCUUUAUGCUGUGUUAGACCUAUCUGCAUAGUUUUUUAUUUUUAAUGAUGCAAAACUGAAAUUUUAUUUUCCAUCUCCUGAUUUUUUUCAAUUGUGGUGGUAAGAGGAAGAAAACUAAACUAUAAAUACAAAGGCUACUUGCUAAACAGCAUACUUAAAAGUGUUGAUAGGUUUGUGGCCUGGCAUUUAACAUUGAACUGUUCAUAGAAUGUAGUUUUUCUUCUAAACAUCAUUUGUGUAGUAGAGAGCGUCUUGCACUGUGUGUGUGUGGCAGGAAAGACAUUUCUUAAACCAUUUUACUUUCCUCACA
RNAcentral lists this long non-coding RNA (4069 nucleotides) under Sus scrofa (pig). Its description in RNAcentral is "lncRNA (ENSSSCG00000053429.1)". Lineage: Eukaryota; Metazoa; Chordata; Mammalia; Artiodactyla; Suidae. The record is from RNAcentral.